RNAcentral lists this ribosomal RNA (897 nucleotides) under Mylonchulus sp. 2 ES-2014. RNAcentral describes it as "bacterial SSU rRNA". It matches the Rfam family "Eukaryotic small subunit ribosomal RNA", at positions 104 to 972 of the family's 1831-position model. Lineage: Eukaryota; Metazoa; Nematoda; Enoplea; Mononchida; Mylonchulidae. The record is from RNAcentral.
AUGCAGCCGCUUGAUCUAAGCCAUUAAGCCUAAAGAAUUUGGAAAAAAGGACCUAAGUUCUUACAUGGAUAGCUGUGGCAAUUCGAGAGCUAGGACAUGCACGAAAGCUCCGACCCUCGUGGAAAGAGCGCAUUUAUUAGACCAAAACCAAUCGAGUACUUCGGUGCUUGUGUUUUGGUGACUCUGAAUAACUUAGUUGAUCGCACAGUCAUAGUACUGGCGACGUAUCUUUCAAAUGUCUGCCUUAUCAACUUUCGAUGGUAGGUUAUACGCCUACCAUGGUUAUAACGGGUAACGGAGAAUUAGGGUUCGACUCCGGAGAGGGAGCCUGAGAAACGGCUACCACAUCCAAGGAAGGCAGCAGGCGCGCAAAUUACCCAAUCUCAGAACGAGGAGGUAGUGACGAAAAAUAACAAAACAGUCCACUCUGUGGUCUGUUAUCGGAAUGGGUACAAUUUAAAUCUUUUAACGAGGAUCUAUUAGAGGGCAAGUCUGGUGCCAGCAGCCGCGGUAAUUCCAGCUCUAAUAGCGUAUAUUAAAGUUGUUGUGGUUAAAACGCCCGUAGUUGGUUCUUCGGUCUUGAAGCUCGGUAGCUCAUAUGGGCUUAACUGAGUCUUCCGGCCUAUAUUUCUUGUUUUCUCCCGAUGCUCUUUAUUGAGUGUCUCGAGAUACUAGAACGUUUACUUUGAAAAAAUUAGAGUGCUAAAAGCAGGCUAUACGCUUGAAUAAAGUGCAUGGAAUAAUGGAAUAGGACUUUAGUUUUAUUUUGUUGGUUUUCGAAAUUAAAGUAAUGAUUAAGAGGAACAGACGGGGGCAUUCGUAUUGUUGCGUUAGAGGUGAAAUUCUUGGAUCGCAGCAAGACGAACAACUGCGAAAGCAUUGCCCAAAAGAAUUGAA